This is a long non-coding RNA of Melopsittacus undulatus (budgerigar), 3838 nucleotides long. RefSeq lists it as uncharacterized. The transcript is spliced from 3 exons. NCBI's taxonomy places the organism in Eukaryota, Metazoa, Chordata, Aves, Psittaciformes, Psittaculidae. The record is from RefSeq and is a predicted model, not a curated record.
AGCUGGCAAUUAGCAGGAAAGGCCUCUAAAUCCCUGCACUGAGAGCCUGCUUGCCUUCCUAAGAACAUAAAUGUGCUAAAGAUAGCAAGGGGAAAGCUGUGCUUUCUGGAAGCUGUUGUGAGAAAACCCCACAAGGGAGGACUAAAGAAAAGCAAGGUAGAUGUGUAGAGUGCCUUCUGCUCGACAGGCAAUUGAUUUGCACGUGGCUGUAAUUACCAUCACUGAUGGUGUCGGAGAUGAGCUUCCCCACCAGGGUCCUGUCAAUCACCACUUUCUCCAGCUGUGGCCCAGAAAGGCUUAGGGACACCAAUAUACCUGAGUGAAAGAGGAGCUAAAUCCAAAUAGCAAGAAAACAAGACAUCAAGAAUCAUUAAUAAAGUGAAACGUUCCAAGGACAAAACCUUAAAGGACAUCUGACAUGACAGGGAAUAUUGAAAUACUGACUAUAUAUAUUCAUCAAAGAAAUGUAUGGUAAGAUUUUGGCAGGAUGGGAAAUUAUCAUUUGUUCUUAAAAAAAUAAUUCCCUAUCACAGGUAUUUUUUGUUUCUAUUUCAGACACCACUAGAAUUUAUUUUCAAACUUCCUUAUAUCUAACCUAAAUCUCCCCUGUUUAAGUUUGAACCCAUUAUCCCUUGUCCUACCGCUAAUCAUAACUGUCUGAAGAACUCAGUUGAAAAAGCGAUCGUUGAAACCCAGAAGCUGACAAACUAUGACACAAACAACGAUCAAGCAAAAUUCCACAAAUAUUCUAGAAAGAUCAGUUCUAAAUUUCUGCAUGAAUAUCAUCCUGCCAGAUAAAACACCCCAAAUCCUUCAGUGUUAUAUGUGAACAAGAGAGCUGGUGCGGUCAGCAAAAAAACUCUACAACUUGUGUCUUCCACAACACCUUUGCUUGCAAAUUAUGUUCUUCUCUCAGAAGAAGCUAUUGCAAUGGUAGGUUGUUUCCAUGCUUCCUUUUCUUGCAGGGAAAGAACAAACUGGAGUUAAUCUGGGAGAACAACUGAAGUGAAUCAGAAGGCUGUAGUCUCCAGGUUUACCUGACAUAUAUACCACACAUCCAUGCAAGGAAGUGAGAGAUGAAACACAGGAAAAAAUGUGGUUUGAUCUGUAGGUGGUUAAUGAUCUUUAAUGACUGUGUCAUGGAAUGAGUCCACAUGCUUGUCCUUCUGCUGACAUCUAAUCUAUGUCAUCCAUAUAUGCUGCAUGGACAUAUGUUUGCAAACUUUUGGCUUGAGAGCAACAAAUAACAUUAGGAUUAUUUAACUCUUAAAUGUUUCAAUGUGCAAAUUCACUUUAUGCCUAUAUGUUCAUUUCCUGGUAAUGACAUGGAUCACACCUGUUACAGAGCUAGAAUACAGAUCUAUGGAAACUGCUCCAGUGUCUGAUGAUGAGACACUUAUACAAAUAUAAAAUACUGUAGUAAUGGGAUUGCUUUGUUUUACAUCUGUGAAACCAGUCAUUAAACCAAUGCUAUGUAUUUUCACUAUCUCAGAUCUCUCUCUAUGCUAUCAGUAUGGCAUGACAUAAUAAUACAAAGUUGGUAAAAUAUAUAUUUUAUAUGUAAUAUAUAAUUUCCAUGUCUUUUCUUGUUUCUCCUAUUGUACUCCCUCCUUCUUUAUUUUUACAGUAAAAUAUUCUUUCCCAUUAUUCUCCACAAUUUUUCCUAUAGUAACUUACCAUGGUUUGUAAUACACCUGUGCCCUACACGGUCUAAGUCCUUCCCUUUAGGAACUGUAGUCUAAAUUUAAAAAGUAAAUUAGAGACUUUACACACUGUAUGACCAUGUAAGGUCAGUAUUCCUUCCACCUCCCUUUAAAAAUCCAUUGCAUUAGGAUAGGGGCUUUUUAAAAAGUAGUUCUUAAAGCUUAAAGGUUACCAUGAAGUACAAGUAGGUAUUUCAAUAAAGCAGGGACAUUGUUGAGUCACCAUCCCUGGAGAUAUUAAAAAGACCUGCAGAUGUGGCACUGAGGGACAUGGUUUAGUGGCAGACUUGCUAGUGUUAGCUGAAUGGUUGGACUUGAUGAUCUUAAGGGUUUUUUCCAACCUAAAUGAUUCUAUGAUUCUGUAUUAUCUGUCAUCAAUAAUAUUCUGUAAAAGAGAAAAUACGUAUAUGUUCAAAUUGAAACAUCAAUAUUUCAAUUCUUUACCAUGUAGUCUAUGCAAAGACUGUUAUAUGAUAAGAUUUAGGUACUAUUAUACAUAAGCUUGCAUAGUUAAGCUCGUAUUUUGGUAGAUGGGAGCAGUCCAAUCAUAAGCAUGAAUGAAUAUAAAGCAAAUGGGGAAGACUGCAAACUUGGCUUGAACACAGAUACACAGUUAUCCAACUCCAAAAAGUACUGCUCAAGGGAAUUGCUCGUCAUCACUAAGGAAUAAACGCAAAUGGAAGAGGCAUUAUUUACAUAAAGCACAAAAUCAUUCCAUCUAACAGAUAUCAUAUUAGGGAAAGAAACUUGCGAUAAUGAAACACUUCACAAAUUUUUCAAACUAAAGUACUGCAAUGUGAAAAAUAGAAAGCAAAAGAAUCACCUCCACAGCUUUAACAGUCUCCAGGUGUUAAUAAACAAAUUAUGAAUGCAUGAUUUCAUACCUAUUGGAACAACAGGCAUAGCUUUUGAACUUGUAUUUGAGUAAAGUGUUUGGGCAUCUGCUCAUUCUACAUGCUGGGAUGGAAGGGCCACUUAAUUUCUGUGUUAUUGAAGAGUUGAAUGUGAAGACUUUGAUAGAAGGAAUUAUGUACUUUGUGUGCCAAAAAUGGUUAUCCAGUGAGCGAGAAACACAUAAGAGGAACAGCGGAUACUCAGAGGAAGACUUAGCUCUUCCCCAAUAGCAAAGUGCUCCAAUACGCAUCUGAGUAACCUUUUAUUAAGCAAAAGACUUAAGUACAGGCUCAUGACCAGUGGACUCCAGUAGAACUUAAGCAUGUACUUAAGUGGAUUCCUUUAUCCUUGGAAGCCUUAGCCCUCACUCCUCAUUCAUGCAGCUCAGCUGCUUAUCAGCCCUUCUACCUAAAAAGAUACCUGCAGAGCAAAGCCAGGAUUUGCUUCUAUCUGAUUAAAAUUGGAAGAGAAUGAAAAUAUGCCUGUAAAAAAUACUGCUGCAAACUGUUUUCCCUUACAGAGCCCAACCGACAAAGGAAUAUGCAAAAGGAGAAGAGAAUUGCAAAGCAUUUCUUGUUCAAGCAGGUUCCCAGGGUUUUUCCCCACCUCUUCAUUCCAGAUUGCUUUCUUAGCCACCCUACCAUAAUUACUGUUGCAUGCCUUAUUACAGAUGAAGUUAUUGUUGUUACACGUUACUGUUUCACAAUAAUCGAUGCAUUUGUACUUCUAGCUUCAAAUCUCGAAAACCACACAUUAAUGGUUCUGAUCAAAAGCAACCGAAAUAAUUUAGUAUGAGGGCUGUGUUCCUCUUAGUAACAGAUGAUAGGUACCAGCGUCUCAUGUAUUCUAGCCAGGAUGUCUUGAUUUUGAUACCAGAAGUGUUACUGUGUGUCAUCACAUAUCUUGCUAAAUCAUCUUGCUGAUGGGCAUUGUAGCUGAUAUAACAAGCCACGUCAGCAAAUACUGCUGUGUACCUCAAUGCAGAAUCCAGUUCUAAGUAUGCCAAUGAUGGCAACAUAAAACCCAUUCACAAACGUAAAUUGCAACACAAAUAAAAUUAAAUCAAACUAAUUUAGCAAAGAAUAUAUAAAUCUUUUCCAUUAGCAGGUAACAGAUAUGAUUCACAGCUAGUGCUUGGCAUUUAUACAAUAAUUCAGUGUUGGCAUGUGUUUUAAUUCUACAUCGUAAUGCAAAUGUAGAACUACAAAAAGUUGGAAAUAAAAUCUUUUGGCUAGAUCUCA